AAAGUCUCGUAGUGACCUGCGGAGGGUCAUUA
RNAcentral lists this ribosomal RNA (32 nucleotides) under Schizothyrium cylindricum. Its description in RNAcentral is "partial 18S ribosomal RNA". Lineage: Eukaryota; Fungi; Ascomycota; Dothideomycetes; Mycosphaerellales; Schizothyriaceae. The record is from RNAcentral.